CGGGGCCGCGGGCCCGGCGCGCGGAGCGCUCUUAAAGCCGCAGCGCCCCCGCUGCCCCGGCUCGGCGGGCAGGGAGCGCGCCGGCGUCCGCAGUCAAGACGGGGAAGUCAAACCCUCCGAGUCUGCCCGGUGGUCGGGACACGGCGGCUUAGGGUUUGCGGGGGAUGAGCGCUCAGCGUGGGCCACGGUUCGGCGGAGCCUCAGACAUAGGUGGAAUGCUCGGCUAGCGAAAGGUUUGGAUCUGUUCUGGAAGCUGCUUAAAACCCAGUUGUCAGAAACAUGUUACUUUUUUUAGAAACUGAGCUGAAUGACAAUUCCCAGUCCUACUGAAUAAUUUUCCUUUUGCCUUCUUUAGAGCUGCUAUUCUUUCAGCAGCAGAUUCAGAUCAAUUCCAAGACUGCUUUCCUUGAUCAUCACAAACCUAGAAGAACAUUUCUGCAGCUGCAGAGGAAAGAAGUCUGCUCCAAAAGCAAGAUAAACAGCCCUUUAUGCUGAAACUGCUACUGUGAAUGCUCCCAGCUCACACUUCAGUUUCUAUUAUUCUCAGAAAACUCAAGCUCUUUGACUUUAUUGAGAAGCUAGAGCAGCAUGAAUGGCGUAGGGAAGCUUUGCCCUUGCAAGACACUUUGGGUCAAAGGUAUUUCAAGCCAUCUCGAUUCUCUUCUAGGAGUCACUUCAGAGUGACUCUAUUUGAUUUUUUUAAAUAAUUAAUUUUCCAGAGAACCUUGUGAAAAAGCUUAGUCACUUUCAGAACAUAUGUCUGCAUAUGUAUUUACAACUAAAAUUCAUCCUACCAAUUUUAUUGUGAAACAUCAAGUGUCUUUUACUUAGUGGAAGGAAAGAAACUGUAAUGGAAAACUCUUCAUGUGGUAUGAAAAGUUUAGACAACUAUGUCAUUAAAUAAUAGAAAACUCUGCAGCUCUAAAGUUUCACGUAAAUAAGCUUGCUGCUUACAAGCACUGUUGUGCAUGCAAUAGUAAUGACACUCUGGGGGGAGGGGAAAGGAAAUAAAAGUCCAAAUGUAAUGGCUUACUAGGUGGGAAGACUUUUCAAUUAUGCCACAAUUAUGCAAAUAAAGAUUAAAGAGAAAGUUGGUUUGAGUUUUGCUGCAUUUCUUGCUACUCCAGGAGGUCUUUAAAUCAUGAAAAUACUGUCAAAUUUAGCAAUUCUGAUUUUUCAAGAAAACCUUUAAGCACCAAGUUAAAUAUAUUUUAACAUUAGCAUGUUCAUUGCCUCUUGUAUUCUUACCACAUUUUCUGGUACUCAUAUCUGUCUGAAGAUAUAAUUUCAUAUUUAAAAGGUAACUACAGCUGCUUCUAGUUAAAAAUUGUUAAACCAGCCACAGGAUCCAGUUAUGAAAUGUUAAUAAUUGACCCACUCUGAGCAAGGAAUAUUCAACUUAAGACUUUUUAUAUCUAUUGAACAAGUCAAUUGUAAUUAAUAUUUACUGUUAGUCUUCAUAUAUUCAUACAGUCCACUUGUAAGAUCUGAAUGCUAAAGACAGUGUGUUUGUUUUUUCCAUUUAAAGUAUGCUGUUGCAAGUAGAUAUUUGGCAUUUUGAAAAAUCCUA
Motacilla alba alba is the source of this 1570-nucleotide long non-coding RNA. RefSeq lists it as uncharacterized. Lineage: Eukaryota; Metazoa; Chordata; Aves; Passeriformes; Motacillidae. The transcript is spliced from 3 exons. The record is from RefSeq and is a predicted model, not a curated record.